CUACGGGAGGCAGCAGUGAGGAAUAUUGGUCAAUGGGCGCGAGCCUGAACCAGCCAUCCCGUGUGCAGGAUGACGGCCCUAUGGGUUGUAAACUGCUUUUCUAUGCCAAGAAACCCUGUUACGAGUAACAGGUUGCCGGUAGCAUAGGAAUAAGCAUCGGCUAACUUCGUGCCAGCAGCCGCGGUAAUACGGGAGGAUGCAAGCGUUAUCCGGAUUCAUUGGGUUUAAAGGGUGCGCAGGUGGGGUUGUAAGUCAGGGGUGAAAUGCUGCCGCUUAACGGUAGAACUGCCAUUGAUACUGCGAGUCUUGAGUAUGGUUGAGGUAGGCGGAAUGUGUUGUGUAGCGGUGAAAUGCAUAGAUAUGACACAGAACGCCAAUUGCGAAGGCAGCUUACUAAGCCAUUACUGACGCUGAGGCACGAAAGCGUGGGGAGCGAACAGGAUUAGAUACCCCCGUAGUC
Molecule: ribosomal RNA, 460 nt
Filed under: uncultured bacterium
Lineage: Bacteria
Description: partial 16S ribosomal RNA
Rfam family: Bacterial small subunit ribosomal RNA
Source: RNAcentral